This 26-nucleotide non-coding RNA is filed under the name Homo sapiens (human). Lineage: Eukaryota; Metazoa; Chordata; Mammalia; Primates; Hominidae. The record is from RNAcentral.
UUACCUUCUGGGCCUGUGCUUUCUAA